This is a long non-coding RNA of Passer domesticus (house sparrow), 5748 nucleotides long. RefSeq lists it as uncharacterized. The transcript is spliced from 2 exons. NCBI's taxonomy places the organism in Eukaryota, Metazoa, Chordata, Aves, Passeriformes, Passeridae. The record is from RefSeq and is a predicted model, not a curated record.
CAGGAUGUGGAUUUGCAAAGUACUUUACAAUUACGUCCAAAAUAAAUUAAAUGCAGACUUGGAUUGCAGCAUGUGUGGAGGUCUGGUUUAAAUAUUGGAACAUUGAAAAGGAAGUAGAAACAAAUUCUCUCUGUAACGAUCAAUGAUAAAGACACAACAAGGAAAACCAGUCAACCAAGGUGGGACCCAUUAAAUUUCCUCCCCGCUACUGCACCUCCUAACAAACCAGCUGCAAUUGCAGCUGAGUCAUUGGAGGCUUCAACGAGUCAUGUAACUGAGAGGGCUGAAGAAGUUGAAAGUAGCAGUGGGACAUCAGAAGAAACGUAUAAUCUACCAUCCUCCUCCAGGCAAAUUACAAAUUCAGCCAUGCAGGAAGUUCCUUCCAAUCAAGAAGGUCCAGGCUUCUUCACUCAAAGGAGAACCCUGGCGGUACAAAAAUGUUCUUUCUGCUCCAACAGUAAAGAUAAAACAAAGGUGCCACCCCUCAGAGAGGUCCCAAUGGGGGAUGCACAAGGUGGAAUAGGAUAUGGAAAUGCACCCCUCACCUCUUCAGAAGUGAGGCAUUUUAGAAAGGAAAUGGAGAUAUCAUUCAGUGACCCAGUAGGUUGGUCAGAACAAUUUGACCAAUUCUUAGGGCCUAGGAUUUACCCUUGGGGAAAAUGAAAUUCAAUAAUGCAAACCCUUUUCUCUCCACAGGACAGAAAAGUUAUUUAGACUUCAGGGAUCAAUAUAUGGGACAGAGAACAUAAUUUAGGACCAACUGGAGAGAAGAAAUUACCAUUAACAGAUCCAGAAUGGAACCCUAGCUCAGAUGAGGGAAGAAAAUGCAUAGCAGAAUACAGAACCCGAAUUGUAAGGGGAAUAAGAGGCAGUCCCCAGAGUUAAUAACUUGAAGAAAGCCUUUGGUGAUGAACAAGAAAAAGAUGAGAGCCCAAUUGACUGUAUAACUCGCUUAAAGAAUAACAUCCAAUUAUAUUCAGAAAUAGAUUUAGAUAGUGAAGGAGGGAAGACAAUGUUCUAGGUCCACUUUGUGUUACAUUCUUGGCCUGACAUCAAACGGAAAUUAGAGAAAUUAGAUGCAUGGCCAGAAAGAAGUUUAGAUGAGUUAUUAGCUGAAGCACAGUAAGUUUAUGCCAGGUGAAAUGAAGAGAAAAUGAAGACUAAAGCUAAGAUGAUGGCUGCUGUCCAAAUUCCUAAACCAAUUAGGCAGGAUGGGGAGAAUAUUCAAUUAAAGAAACCUAUUUGCUUUUAUUGUAAGAAAGAAGACCAUAUGCAAUCCUGCUGUUUUAAGACAUUGAGGGACUUAAGAGAUUCUCCAAGUGGAGAAUCAACCCUCAGAGAACUGAGGGGGUCAGGGGCUCUUCUUCUUGGGGCACAAAAACCAUCUUCAAGAGCCCUUGAUAAAAUCAAGGAUAGGACCCCUAGAACAAUGAAUGGAAUUUUUAGUAGACACAGGAGCAGAGAGAUCUUGUGUAAUUGAAAAACCAAAUGGAUGUGCCAUAAGCAAAGACACUUUCAAUAUCUGUGCUGCUAAAGGGGAAUCCUUCCCCAUUCCCAUCAUUAUGAAUGUCACCAUAAAGGGUAAUGGACUAACCAGAAAAGGGAGAUUUGUUUUUCUACCUCCAGCAUGUAACAACUUAAUUGGUCAGGAAUUCCAGAUACCUUUGAAAGCUGGAGUUCCACAAGAAGGAAGGAUGAAGGUCAAAUUGGUUACUUUAUCCACACAAGAUGAACAACUGAUUAAUCCUACAGUGUAGGCCCAACCAGGUCGCUGGGAUAAAAUGAACAUUACACCCAUUGUAAUGAAUCUCCUUCCAGACAUUAAACCAGCAAAAGUACCCCAGCACCCCCUUACAAAGACCAAAAGGUAUGGGCUAAAACCCAUAAUAACUGAACUGUGACAUGAUAAUAUACUAGAGCCAUGUACUUCCACAUACAACACCCCAUUCUUGCUAUUAAAAAGCCUGACAAUAGUUACAGGCUAGUUCAAGACCUACGUGAAGUAAAUAAAAGAGUGCAAGCUGUGUGCCCGUUAGUACGAAACCCUUACACCUUGUUAAGUUAUCACCUACACACUCUUGGUUCUCAGUAACUGACCUGAAGGAUGCAUUUUGGUCAUGCCCUGUAGAUUCUCCUUCUAGACACCUGUUUGCCUUCACCUGGGAAGAUCCAGACACUGGAAGGAAACAGCAGCUGACCAGGACCUGGCUACCCCAAGGGUACACGGAGUUGCCCACACUCUUCGGUCAGGCCUUGGAGAGCCUGUUCAUUUCCUUUUCUCCACCCUCAGGAAUACAAGUAACACAGUAUGUAGAUGACAUAGUACUCUCCAGAGAGCAAGAACCCACUGUAAAAUUAGGCACCAUUCAAUUACUGAACCAUCUAGGAGAGAAUGGACUAAGAGUAUCUAAAUCCAAACUACAAUUUGUUAAACCGAAGUAAAAUAUUUCGCACAUGUAAUUGGUCAUGGUACCGAAAAUUGAGUACUGAAAGGAUAGAAGGAAUUUUAAAUUUACAACCUCCACAAAAAAAGAGCGAGGUUAGACAAUUAUUAGGCUUAAGGAGGUAUUGUAGAAUAUGGAUUGAUGAAUACACACAAAGUAUCACAAUUUUAUAUGAAAAAUUAACUACAUCAGAACCUAUUAAUUGGACCCAAGAGGAUAAUAAGAACUUAGAAAAUUUAAAGCAAAAGAUGAUUCAGACCCCAGUUCUCUUUCUUCCUUCACUAGAAGAAGAUUUUCACCUAUAUAUUAAACCUAUAUAGGAAUUACUUACGGGGUCUUGGCCCAAGAGUGGUCAGGAUUUCAUAAACCUGUAGCCUACUUGUCCAUAUUGUUGGUCCCUCUGUCCCAAGGAUGGCAAACAUGCAUCCAAUCAAUCGCUGCAGCAGCCAUCCUAGUAACAGCCAGCCAAAAACUUACAUUUGAGAGAAAUCUGAUAGAAUACAUACCACACUCCAUCCAAACCAUUCUUAAACAACGAGCAGCCGAAUGGCUAACAGACUCUCAUAUAAUACAAUAUGGGAGCACCCUCAUCCAUUCCACAAAUGUAACCCUGAAAACAAUUACCCACACCAAUCCCGCACAGUUCCUAUGUGGAAUUCCCCAAAAACAAGAUCUCAUGCACAACUGCAUAGUUUUUAUAAACCUGCAAACAAAAAUUCAAGAAGACCUCCUAGAGAGCCCAUUAGCUGAAGGAGAAAUCCUGUUCAUCGACGGAUCAUCAAGAGUAGUAAAUGGAAAGAGGUGCUCUGGAUACUCCAUCAGAGAUGGAAAACAACUGUACAUGUUAGAAAAGGAAAACUACCACCUUCCUGGUCUGCCCAGGUAUGUGAAUUAGAUGCUUUGGAAAAAGCAUUGCACAGACUAAACUAUUGGAACCAUUUAUACAGACUCUAAAUAUGCAUAUGGAGUAGUCCACACAUUCGGGAAAAGCUGGGCUGAAAGAGGGUUUCUCACAUCUAAGGGCAAAGACAUUUUACACAAAGAACUUAUAUUAAAAAUUAGAGGCACUUAAGUUACCGAAAGAAAUUGCAAUGGUACGUUCUCCAGGUCAUCAAAAGGGAACUCUGGAGAAACUAGAGGAAGCAUCCUAGCAGACCAUGCUGCAAAGGAGGCUGCUUUUGAGGGGGAAGUAAAGGUAUACAGAUUUUAUCCAAGAGACACACACCCGAGAGUACACUGGACAACACUCUUCCCAUCCCUAUUUUUAAAGACAGUGAAAAACAGAAACUCAUAUCACUAGGUGGAAAGGAAGAUUCUGAGGGACGGUGGCAUCCUCCUGAUGGCCACCAAAUGUUAAAUAAAGAGCUCACUCGAGAAAUUUUACAGAACUUCCACCAAGCCACGCACUGGGGAUCUAAAGCUUUAGCAGGUCACUUUCUUCAAAAUUUUGGAUGUCAGGGAAUUGAUGAAUUAGCUAACCAAAUUACCAUAGGUUGUAUAAUUUUCCAAAAAGUCAAUAGAAAAUUAAUGAGGAGAACGAGACCUGGAAGAAUUGAAAUUGCAAUUAGACCCUUCCAAAGUAUGCAAUUUGAUUUCACAGAAAUGCCCCAUGUCCAAAGAUGGAAGUAUUUCUUAGUGAUUGUAGAUCACCUUACCAAUGGGGUUGAAGCAUUUCCAACUGUUAAUGCCACUGCUCAAACAAUAAGUAAGGUAAUCCUAGAAUAGAUAGUCCCAAGAUAUGGAAUUAUAAAUAACAUUGAUUCAGACCAAGGUACCCAUUUUACAUCAUUAGUAUUGCAACAAUUGGCUCAAUAAUUUGGAAUAACUUGGAAAUUACAUACCCCUGGCACCCUCAAAGUUCGGGAAGGGUAGAACGCAUGAAUCAGACUAUUAGAACAACCCAGACCAAACUGAUGUUAGAAAUGAAGUGGACUUGGAUAAAGUGCCUACCCCUUGCCCUUCUCAGAAUCCAGAGCUAACCCAGAGCUGACUAAGGCUGUUCCCCAUGUGAAAUGUUAUAUAGGCUUCCCUAUUUAGCCACCCCGCAUCAAGUAACUGCCAAAGAGUGAGGAAAUAGAAAUGUGCAAAGGUAUAUUCAAAUGAUUGCCCAGAAUCUAAAAGACUUAAAGCAGAGAGGUCGUGUACCCCAGAACAUUCCUUUAGACUUCUAUUUACAUAAGAUAUGCCCCGGAGAGUAGGUACUUAUUAAAUGCUGGAAGGAACAAUCCCUGACUCCAUCAGGGGAAGGUCCUUUCCAAGUUCAACUGACCACAGAGACAGCCAUCUGAGCACAGGAAAAAGGGUGCACUUCCGUCAGCCGAGUAAAAGGUCCAGUAACACCACCACAAGAUAACGAGAAACCUCCAUGAACUACUCUCUACAACAGUCCUCCCCGUGUUAUCCCUGAAAUUAUUAUAUCAAUUGUUAUUCUCUCACUGUUUUACAGCAGAGAAUCUAAUGGUUAUUGUACUUACUAUUUAACAAGUUAUUACGAAUUUUUAAUUCCAUUUCUCCACCAGUGAAGAGUAUCAUUUCCCUGAGAAAUUACUUUCCAAUAACUAUAUCUUUUUUUUUUUUUUUUUUUUUAAAUUUCCUUGGGAGAAACAACAUGAAUAGAACCAAGGCCAGUUCCAGGUAGGACUUUCCUGCAUCCAGGUACACUCCCAUGACAACCAAGGGGUCUGAACCCAGUCGAAAAACCAGAGAGCUUGAAAGGUCUGCACCACCUAUCAGAGAGUUCCACGGCACUUCAAUCUUCCCAUUGACCCUUAGGGAAUGGAAGGUUGAACUGGUAACUUGAUGCCACAGCAAUGGUGCAUACUAAUGAGAGAGCUUCCCAUCAAAAACCUCAGAGAUAUCAUCCCACCCCAGUGACAGCACACUCUGGGAAAGAAGAUCUUACCCCAUCAUCUACUAGCACCAAUCACCUGAGACUGUGGGGGCGGAACUGCAAGUACAGACUGAGGGGAUCGAGAACAUCAAAGGGGCAGCCUGGCCUGAAGAGCUGUCUUUGCUGUCUUUUACUGUUCCUGGGACUGUGACUUAGCUACAGCAGGGGACCCCACACUGCAGAUUUUGGUCAAUAUCUCUUUUUAGAGACCUUUUUCCAGAUUUGAGGGCAGACUAAGUGCAUUCACUGCAAUGCCCUCGGGUUCUUGCCUUGGGGCCAAACGCCAGUUCAGCUAGAGAUUUCCUCAAUCCUUGGGCUUGGGACUUUAUCCUUUUUUCUUUCUUUCCUUUCUUCUUUUUCCUUACCUCCCUUUUUGUUUUUCCUCUUUAAAUAAACACCCUAUUUUUGUUCAAA